AGAGUUUGAUCCUGGCUCAGGAUGAACGCUGGCGGCGUGCUUAACACAUGCAAGUCGAACGAUGAUCCCAGCUUGCUGGGGGAUUAGUGGCGAACGGGUGAGUAACACGUGAGUAACCUGCCCUUAACUCUGGGAUAAGCCUGGGAAACUGGGUCUAAUACCGGAUAUGACUCCUCAUCGCAUGGUGGGGGGUGGAAAGCUUUUUGUGGUUUUGGAUGGACUCGCGGCCUAUCAGCUUGUUGGUGAGGUAAUGGCUCACCAAGGCGACGACGGGUAGCCGGCCUGAGAGGGUGACCGGCCACACUGGGACUGAGACACGGCCCAGACUCCUACGGGAGGCAGCAGUGGGGAAUAUUGCACAAUGGGCGAAAGCCUGAUGCAGCGACGCCGCGUGAGGGAUGACGGCCUUCGGGUUGUAAACCUCUUUCAGUAGGGAAGAAGCGAAAGUGACGGUACCUGCAGAAGAAGCGCCGGCUAACUACGUGCCAGCAGCCGCGGUAAUACGUAGGGCGCAAGCGUUAUCCGGAAUUAUUGGGCGUAAAGAGCUCGUAGGCGGUUUGUCGCGUCUGCCGUGAAAGUCCGGGGCUCAACUCCGGAUCUGCGGUGGGUACGGGCAGACUAGAGUGAUGUAGGGGAGACUGGAAUCCCUGGUGUAGCGGUGAAAUGCGCAGAUAUCAGGAGGAACACCGAUGGCGAAGGCAGGUCUCUGGGCAUUAACUGACGCUGAGGAGCGAAAGCAUGGGGAGCGAACAGGAUUAGAUACCCUGGUAGUCCAUGCCGUAAACGUUGGGCACUAGGUGUGGGGGACAUUCCACGUUUUCCGCGCCGUAGCUAACGCAUUAAGUGCCCCGCCUGGGGAGUACGGCCGCAAGGCUAAAACUCAAAGGAAUUGACGG
Molecule: ribosomal RNA, 896 nt
Filed under: uncultured bacterium
Lineage: Bacteria
Description: bacterial SSU rRNA
Rfam family: Bacterial small subunit ribosomal RNA
Source: RNAcentral